AUUGAACGCUGGCGGCAUGCCUUACACAUGCAAGUCGAACGGUAACGGGCCUUCGGGUGCCGACGAGUGGCGAACGGGUGAGUAAUACAUCGGAACGUGCCCGAUCGUGGGGGAUAACGAGGCGAAAGCUUUGCUAAUACCGCAUACGAUCUACGGAUGAAAGCAGGGGACCGCAAGGCCUUGCGCGGACGGAGCGGCCGGUGGCAGAUUAGGUGGUUGGUGGGAUAGACGCUUACCAAGCCGACGAUGGGUAGCUGGCCGGAGAGGACGAACGGCCACAGUGGGAAGGAGAUACGGGACAGACGCCUACGGGAGGAAGAAGUGGGGAAUAUGGCAAAAUGGGCGCAAGCCGGAUGAAGCAACGCUGCGUGUGGGAUGACGGACUUGGGGUGGGAAAACGCGGUCAGCAGGGAAGAAGCGUGUUGUGACGGGACCUGCAGAAGAAGCAAAGGCUAACUACGUG
Molecule: ribosomal RNA, 463 nt
Filed under: uncultured bacterium
Lineage: Bacteria
Description: partial 16S ribosomal RNA
Rfam family: Bacterial small subunit ribosomal RNA
Source: RNAcentral